This 65-nucleotide transfer RNA is filed under the name Raeta sp. Its description in RNAcentral is "tRNA-Ile". Lineage: Eukaryota; Metazoa; Mollusca; Bivalvia; Venerida; Anatinellidae. The record is from RNAcentral.
GACAUCGUGCCAGACCAAUGGGCUAUUUUGAUGUAAUAGAUAUAGAGUGUAUCCUCUCGGUGUCU